RNAcentral lists this ribosomal RNA (1040 nucleotides) under uncultured Serratia sp. RNAcentral's name for it is "bacterial SSU rRNA". It matches the Rfam family "Bacterial small subunit ribosomal RNA", at positions 331 to 1356 of the family's 1533-position model. Lineage: Bacteria; Pseudomonadati; Pseudomonadota; Gammaproteobacteria; Enterobacterales; Yersiniaceae. The record is from RNAcentral.
CCACACUCCUACAGGAGGCAGCACUGGGGAAUAUUGCACAAUGGGCGCAAGCCUGAUGCAGCCAUGCCGCGUGUGUGAAGAAAGCCUUCUGGUUGUAAAGCACUUUCACCGAGGAGGAAAGGUUCUGUGUUAAUAGCACAUUGCAUUGACAUUACUCGCAGAAAAAACACCGGCUAACUCCGUGCCACCAGCCGCGGUAAUACAGAGGGUGCAAGCGUUAAUCGGAAUUACUGGGCGUAAAGCGCACACACGCGGUUUGUUAAAUCAGAUGUGAAAUCCCCCCGCUUAACGUGGGAACUGCAUUUGAAACUGGCAAACUAUAGUCUUGUAUAGGGGGGUAGAAUUCCACGUGUAGCGCUGAAAUGCGUAUAGAUCUGGAGGGAAUACCGGUGGGGAAGGCGGCCCCCUGGACAAAGACUGACGCUCAGGUGCGAAAGCGUGGGGAGCAAACAGGAUUAGAUACCCUGGUAGUCCACGCUUGUAAACAAUAUCUACUUGGAAGUUUUGCCCUUUAGAGGUGCCUUCCCCAAAAAAAACGUUAAAACUACACCUAGGGGGUAACCGCCCCCCAGUUUUAACACCAAUUAAUUUUAGGGGGCCCCCCUAACCAGUGGAGCAUGUGGUUUAAUUCGAUGCAACGCGAAGAACCUUACCUACUCUUGAUUAGGGAGAAUAUCGGUCUGAUAUAGCUUAGUGCCUUCGGGAACUCUGAGACAGGUGCUGCAUGGCUGUCGUCAGCUCGUGUAUGUAAGAUUAGGUGUAUUUAAAAUCACGAUAGACGCAACCCUUAUCCUAUUGGUGUAAAAACAUGUUUGUCAACCAAUAAAACAUAGUACCGGUGAUAAACCGGAGGAAGGUGGGGAUGACGUCAAGUCAUCAUGGCCCUUACGAGUAGGGCUACACACGUGCUACAAUGGCGUAUACAAAGAGAAGCGAACUCGCGAGAGCAAGCGGACCUCAUAAAGUACGUCGUAGUCCGGAUCGGAGUCUGCAACUCGACUCCGUGAAGUCGGAAUCGCUAGUAAUCGUAGAUCAGAAUG